Molecule: transfer RNA, 90 nt
Filed under: Candidatus Glassbacteria bacterium RIFCSPLOWO2_12_FULL_58_11
Lineage: Bacteria; Candidatus Glassiibacteriota
Description: tRNA-Ser
Rfam family: tRNA
About the family: Transfer RNA (tRNA) molecules are approximately 80 nucleotides in length. Their secondary structure includes four short double-helical elements and three loops (D, anti-codon, and T loops).
Source: RNAcentral
GGAGAGGUGUCCGAGUGGUUGAAGGAGCCGGUCUCGAAAACCGGUGUCGGUGUAAGCCGACCCAGGGUUCGAAUCCCUGCCUCUCCGCCA